GCGAGUAUGCUGAAAUUGGUAGCCAGGCUGUAUUUAGGAUACAGUGUCCCACGACAUAAGAGUUCAACUCUCUUUACUCGUA
Molecule: transfer RNA, 82 nt
Filed under: Clavulina sp.
Lineage: Eukaryota; Fungi; Basidiomycota; Agaricomycetes; Cantharellales; Hydnaceae
Description: tRNA-Leu
Source: RNAcentral